CAGGGAGACAACACAAUGAUUUUGAUGCCUGAGUGCUUUUAUUCUUAGGCCGAAAUCCUGUCACCUUAGGUCGAUCGGUACCUCAGCUUUGAAGUCAAGGAUCAGCAGCAAUGUUGAUUGCUUGAUGGAGAUUUUCAGUUCCUAAACUUUGUCUAGGUCACACCCCAAAAGGGAUGAGACUCCUGGGCCAUUAGCUCAGGUGGUUAGAGCGCACCCCUGAUAAGGGUGAGGUCCCUGGUUCAAGUCCAGGAUGGCCCAUUCGGUGUUGGGGGUUUAGCUCAGUUGGUAGAGCGCCUGCUCUGCAAGCAGGAUGUCAGGAGUUCGAGUCUCCUAACCUCCACUGACCGAACUUGAUUCCCAUCUCCAAUUUUUUUGGAGUUGAGCUCGAUUGGAGUGUGAUUUAGAUGUGUCCGCUGGAUGACCCCAGCUUCCUGUCAUUCCAAGUUUUAGGUUAAAGCCUUGAAUUUGGUUGAUAAGAUGCUGGGCUCGGAUCAAAUGAUCAAGCAAUUGAUGAUUUGAUUUGAAGUUCUAGCAGAACCUUGACAACUGCAUAGGUGAGUCUGGAAAAAACAAAGCAUCUUACAGAUGCAUUGUUUUGAAUCUGAUCUUCUGAAAGGGAGAUUAGAUCUAGAACAAUGAAAAUUCUUUUGAGCAAGAGCCGAGACUCUUGAGCGUUCUUUGAUUGGUGUCGAGCCAAUCAGAGUUUGAUCUUGUUUUUAGCAAUAAAAACUUGAGAAUCUGCUUUCAACGGCGGUAAGCGUUUAAGAGGUUAAUU
This 775-nucleotide transfer RNA is filed under the name uncultured cyanobacterium. RNAcentral describes it as "partial contains 16S ribosomal RNA, 16S-23S ribosomal RNA intergenic spacer, and 23S ribosomal RNA". The stretch from base 185 to 258 matches the Rfam family "tRNA". Lineage: Bacteria; Bacillati; Cyanobacteriota. The record is from RNAcentral.